RNAcentral lists this ribosomal RNA (216 nucleotides) under Rhizochromulina marina. Its description in RNAcentral is "partial Bacterial small subunit ribosomal RNA". It matches the Rfam family "Bacterial small subunit ribosomal RNA", at positions 505 to 720 of the family's 1533-position model. Lineage: Eukaryota; Dictyochophyceae; Rhizochromulinales. The record is from RNAcentral.
GUGCCAGCAGCCGCGGUAAUACGGGGGAUGCAAGCGUUAUCCGGAAUCAUUGGGCGUAAAGCGCCUGUAGGUUGUUUAGUAAGUCCAUUGUUAAAGACCAGGGCUUAACCCUGGGAAAGCAAUAGAAACUACUAGACUUGAGUAUGGCAGGGGUAGAGGGAAUUUCUAGUGUAGCGGUGAAAUGCGUAGAUAAAGGAAGGAACACCAGUGGCGAAG